GUGGGGAAUCUUCCGCAAUGGGCGCAAGCCUGACGGAGCAAUGCCGCGUGAACGAAGAAGGUCUUCGGAUUGUAAAGUUCUGUCCUUAUCGAAGAGAGGGUAUAGAGUGAAAAAUGAUAUACUAGGACGGUAGAUGAGGAGGAAGCCCCGGCUAACUACGUGCCAGCAGCCGCGGUAAUACGUAGGGGGCGAGCGUUGUCCGGAAUCACUGGGCGUAAAGGGCGCGUAGGCGGUAAUAUAAGUCAGAUGUGAAAGGUGGGGGCUCAACCCCUAGAGUGCAACUGAUACUGUAUAACUUGAGUGUGAGAGAGGGAAGCGGAAUUCCUAGUGUAGCGGUGAAAUGCGUAGAUAUUAGGAGGAACACCAGUGGCGAAGGCGGCUUUCUGGCUCAUAACUGACGCUGAGGCGCGAAAGCGUGGGGAGCAAACAGG
This 431-nucleotide ribosomal RNA is filed under the name uncultured bacterium. RNAcentral describes it as "bacterial SSU rRNA". It matches the Rfam family "Bacterial small subunit ribosomal RNA", at positions 354 to 776 of the family's 1533-position model. The record is from RNAcentral.